Molecule: ribosomal RNA, 1209 nt
Filed under: Coeliodes nakanoensis
Lineage: Eukaryota; Metazoa; Arthropoda; Insecta; Coleoptera; Curculionidae
Description: partial 16S ribosomal RNA
Rfam family: Archaeal large subunit ribosomal RNA (bases 1055-1209)
Source: RNAcentral
AAAAUAGUUAUUAUUAGUAUUAUUAUUAGUAUAAUUGUAAAAUAACAAAAAAAAUUUAUAUUUUUAUUAAUUUAUGUGAAAAAAUUAAAUAUAAUUAUAGUUAAUUUGUAUUGUGAAAGAUUUAAUUUUUUUAAUUAAUAGAAUAAUUAAAUUUUAGUACCUUGUGUAUCAGGGUUUAUUAAUUAAAAUUUAUUAUGUAUAAAUUUCUCGAAUUUAAAAGAGUUAUAAUUUUAUAUUUUUUAUUGUUGAAUAAAUAUUAUUAAUAAAAUUAUAGAAGCGAAACACUAUUCGAUUUUAAAUAUAUCUAGUUUCUAAAGAAAAAAAUUUAAUUUUAUUUUUAUUUUUAUUAUUAAUUUAAAUUUUUAAAUUAAUAUUAAUAAGAUUUUAUAUUUUAAGGGAUGAGCUUUAGAAUAAAAUAAUAUAAAUUGUAUUUAGAAAAGUUUAAUAAGUAGAAUUAUAAGUUUUUAUCUUUAAUAGUGUUUUAUCACUAGUUGAAUUUAGUAUAUUCUUUAUAUUUGUUUUAUAUAUUUUAUUUAGAUAAUAGUUUGAAUUUUAAAAAUUGUGAAAUAAUGAUAAAAUUAGUAUAAUUUUUUGUUUUAUUAUUAUAGAUAUAGAUAAAAGGUUUUUUAAAGGAAUUCGGCAAAUAAAUUUUUCACCUGUUUAUCAAAAACAUGGCUUUUUGAAAAUAAUUUAAAGUCUGGCCUGCCCACUGAGUUUUAAAUGGCCGCAGUAUCUUGACUGUGCAAAGGUAGCAUAAUCAUUAGUUUUUUAAUUGAAAGCUUGUAUGAAAGGUCGGAUGAGAAAAUAACUGUCUCUAUAAAAAUUUAUUAGAAUUUUAUUUUUAAGUAAAAAAGCUUAAAUAAUGAUAGAAGACGAGAAGACCCUAUAGAGUUUUAUAUUUAUAUAAUUUGAAAUUUUUAGUAUUUUAGCUUUUUUUUUAUUAUAUUAUUUGGUUGGGGUGAUUGAGAAAUUAAAAAAACUUUCUUUUUAUAAAUACAUUUAUUUAUGAAAAAAUGAUCCUUAUUUAAAGAUUAUAAGAUUAAAUUACCUUAGGGAUAACAGCGUAAUUUUUUUUGAGAGCUCAAAUCGAAAGAAAAGAUUGCGACCUCGAUGUUGGAUUAAAGUAAAUUUUUGGUGUAGAAGCUAGAAUAAUUAGGUCUGUUCGACCUUUAAAACUUUACAUGAUCUGAGUUCAAACCGGUGUGAGCC